GUCCCUUCUAACUUUGUCCCAGAAAAAUCUCCAGGGAAAUGAAAUCAAGCGGUUUUCCAGAUUCACUUUUCAAAAUUAGUCCUGGGCUGGCCUUCAACAAGGCAAACACAUUCUGUGCAGUUACGGGAGAGAACAGCACAGCAUUCCUGGACCAAGACUUAGAGCCAGAAGCCAGACAUGCUGAUCAAGCUGAAGACAGAGUCACCUCUUCAAUGAAGUUCGCCAUGAGUCAUCCAAGAAGAGCUACCUCAACACUCUGAUUCCAAAACCCAUCCUAUAAAGAUCAACAUCAUACCACAUUGACUUGUGGGGCUCAUAAACAACUGAAGAAAUACACAGACACGUACACCAGGAUUAGCCAAACUGUAGUGGGUGCUGUACUGGGAGUUCAAAGACUACGCAGCGGAGGAGAAAGGAUCUGAAGACAAGGAGAAAGAGAAGGAAGGAGUGAGAAGGAUGGAACAAGGGCAUUGCAGGAGGGUGCUCAAAUCCUCAUCACAACAAUGUUCAUUGAAGCCUUACAGUCUUCAAGGAAACCUUCAGACUUUCCUUUGUGCAAACAUCCUUCUGAGCUUGGCUCCAAUCCUCCUCCACCUCGACAUCCAGGUCUCUCCCGUGUGUAUGAUAUACAAGAGCCACAGUCUACUGCACGCUGCUCCCGUCUCUGCACCAGGGAUCCGAGCUCCCAAACUUUCGGGCUUCUGCAUAUGCUGUAGUUUCCUUGGGAGUAGCAUCCCACCCACCUUUCAUCUGCCUAAUUCCUACUCAUCCUUAAUGCUUCCCUUGGGAUUUCCCCACAGAGUGGAAUUCAGAAGGCGGCCCUGCUAUGCCAUCACCUCCUCCCGCAGCCCCCUGCAUGGUUGCUGUUGGCUUCUUUCUGUCCCCCUAGAGAGUUUCUGCCUCCUUGAAGGCGAACUCCUUGUUUAGCCCCCACCCACCUCUUCCCACUUCCCAGGCGCUGUCUGUGUCCAACCUACAGUGAAGACAUUAAUAGGCAAUUAGAC
This 1004-nucleotide long non-coding RNA is filed under the name Cricetulus griseus (Chinese hamster). Its description in RNAcentral is "lncRNA (ENSCGRG00015038784.1)". The record is from RNAcentral. Lineage: Eukaryota; Metazoa; Chordata; Mammalia; Rodentia; Cricetidae.